Molecule: ribosomal RNA, 441 nt
Filed under: uncultured bacterium
Lineage: Bacteria
Description: partial 16S ribosomal RNA
Rfam family: Bacterial small subunit ribosomal RNA
Source: RNAcentral
CCUACGGGAGACUGCAGUAGGGAAUUUUCCGCAAUGGGCGAAAGCCUGACGCAGCAACGCCGCGUGAUUGAUUAAGCCCUUCGGGGUGUAAAGCUCUGUCAGUGGGGACGAAACUUUGCGGUACCCACAGAGGAAGCCCCGGCUAACUCCGGGCCAGCAGCCACGGUAAUACGGAGGGUGCAAGCGUUGUCCGGACUCAUUGGGCGUAAAGAGUUCGUAGGUGGCUUUUUAAGUCUGGUGUUAAAUGCAGAAGCUCAACUUCUGUUCGGCACUGGAUACUGGUAAGCUUGAAUGCGGUAGAGGUAAAGGGAAUUCCUGGUGUAGCGGUGAAAUGCGGAGAGAUCAGGAGGAACAUCGGUGGCGAAAGCGAUUUACUGGGCCGUAAUUGACACUGAGGAACGAAAGCCGGGGUAGCAAAUGGGAUUAGAUACCCUAGUAGUC